This 378-nucleotide ribosomal RNA is filed under the name Triticum aestivum (bread wheat). Its description in RNAcentral is "partial small subunit ribosomal RNA". The record is from RNAcentral. Lineage: Eukaryota; Viridiplantae; Streptophyta; Magnoliopsida; Poales; Poaceae.
CUCGCUCUGGCAGUUUGGGCCAUGUUCCAAGUAGCUUCGAAUUUAUACCCACCACGUAGUCCAAGGAAUAUUUUCGGCAACUGGUUGCGGGGUAUUGAUAAAGAAUUUUAUGCACAUAUUCUUGUGGGAGCGGCGGCCUUAUGCUGGGCAAUGUGGCUUACCAGGAAUGAUGUGAUUUUUAACAAUAAAUGUGUCUCAUCUCCUAUGCAGGUUAUUCAUGUUUGUACAUGAUGGCUCCGUACUUGGUCUAUCCUGCAGAAGCCGGAGGACAGGGACCUUUUUAUGAUGGCGUCUACACGGCUGGAGUGUACGUUGAGGGAGGUUUUCUAUCCCCAUGGAUGGCGGUGUGAUUUACGGAUAGGAUCUACCGCUCCUUAG